This 68-nucleotide transfer RNA is filed under the name Pseudocolochirus violaceus. RNAcentral describes it as "tRNA-Ile". It matches the Rfam family "tRNA". From Rfam's summary of the family: Transfer RNA (tRNA) molecules are approximately 80 nucleotides in length. Their secondary structure includes four short double-helical elements and three loops (D, anti-codon, and T loops). Further hydrogen bonds mediate the characteristic L-shaped molecular structure. tRNAs have two regions of fundamental functional importance: the anti-codon, which is responsible for specific mRNA codon recognition, and the 3' end, to which the tRNAs corresponding amino acid is attached (by aminoacyl-tRNA synthetases). tRNAs cope with the degeneracy of the genetic code in two manners: having more than one tRNA (with a specific anti-codon) for a particular amino acid; and 'wobble' base-pairing, i.e. permitting non-standard base-pairing at the 3rd anti-codon position. Lineage: Eukaryota; Metazoa; Echinodermata; Holothuroidea; Dendrochirotida; Cucumariidae. The record is from RNAcentral.
GGACUUAAUCCAAGAAGGAAUAUCUGACCGAUAAUCAAAUAGCAGAGGUUUAAUUCCUCUUAAGUCCU